This 301-nucleotide ribosomal RNA is filed under the name uncultured bacterium. RNAcentral describes it as "partial 16S ribosomal RNA". It matches the Rfam family "Bacterial small subunit ribosomal RNA", at positions 509 to 807 of the family's 1533-position model. The record is from RNAcentral.
CAGCCGCCACGGUAAUACGUAGGUGGCAAGCGUUGUCCGGAAUUAUUGGGCGUAAAGGGCUCGCAGGCGGUUUCUUAAGUCUGAUGUGAAAGCCCCCGGCUCAACCGGGGAGGGUCAUUGGAAACUGGGAAACUUGAGUGCAGAAGAGGAGAGUGGAAUUCCACGUGUAGCGGUGAAAUGCGUAGAGAUGUGGAGGAACACCAGUGGCGAAGGCGACUCUCUGGUCUGUAACUGACGCUGAGGAGCGAAAGCGUGGGGAGCGAACAGGAUUAGAUACACCGGUAGUCCCUGUCUCUUAUAC